Long non-coding RNA from Uranotaenia lowii, 398 nucleotides. RefSeq lists it as uncharacterized. The record is from RefSeq and is a predicted model, not a curated record. The transcript is spliced from 3 exons. Lineage: Eukaryota; Metazoa; Arthropoda; Insecta; Diptera; Culicidae.
CGACUUUUUCUGUCGGUUGUUCAGGUUCGGGGAAGGAUGAUUUGCACCGAUUUGCAAAUCAUUUCCAUCCGAAAGAUACCAUCAAGCUUUGUAGGACUGCUGACAGCACUUGUUAUAAGCAAGCAAGAUUUUACACCGGCAUCCGAUCAACCGAUCAGCUCUUAACUAUUGCUAUCUGCUUCCAUCCGACAGCUGCUUGGUUUAUCGGUGGUCCGGUUGCACGAAAAUAAAUGCGUCAGAUGAUAUUGUCGGGAAGCAUCCGGAAUUGAAGAUCUCGAUUUCGUUGCUGUGGAAGUUUUCGACCAAAGUAUAUGAGUGCGUUCGCGAAUACCGCUACCCGAAUCCAUCAGUUCAUGGCCAACCGGCCGCAAUACAGCUACCAGAUGUGCCGCCCGGGA